GUAAGAGUUUGCUUGUGUGCUAUUUCAAAUUACUUAUGUAUAUACUGUAUGAUUGAGUCAUACUGAAUGAUUCAUUCAUAUAGUUGCUUAACCGAUUCAUUCGAAAACACUGAUUCAAACGCCAUUACAGUGUUUGGGGAUAUUUUGGCUGGCAAAGAAAGACUAGACAAUGUAACUGCUAAAUGUGUCUGAAACUCACAGUUGUAUCUCUUUCAUUGCAAUGGCUGCAGGAACAGUCCCCCUGGAGCAACCCGGGGUUAAAGACUUCUCAGGAACUCUCCAAUUAUAUUCGAGCAGCAAUUAAACUGACAAAGUAUCACCAAGUAUGCCAUUUUCUCAAGUCUCUUUUCGACUAUUACCUUUCAUGCAGUGUGUCAUGUAGCUGUAUGUGAACAUAAACUAUCUGCAAAGUUGUGAAGCCGACAGUGCACAAUAGAUAAAAGUUAUUAUCUGUAUAAAAAAAAAGAAAAAAAAAAAAGAAUCAACUCGCAAUUACCGAAACAAGUCGUCAGGAAUUUGAAUCUUAUUCUGUUACGGCUCUACGUCACAAAGUAACACAUUUGCAUAAUGUCCGCCCACGUUUUAGGUCGCCAACUUGCCUGCCCACAAACACAGUAAAAUUUUUAUGUGAUUAACAUCAUUUCGA
Molecule: long non-coding RNA, 646 nt
Organism: Cyprinus carpio (common carp)
Lineage: Eukaryota; Metazoa; Chordata; Actinopteri; Cypriniformes; Cyprinidae
Exons: 2
Source: RefSeq, a predicted model, not a curated record